RNAcentral lists this ribosomal RNA (422 nucleotides) under uncultured prokaryote. Its description in RNAcentral is "bacterial SSU rRNA". It matches the Rfam family "Bacterial small subunit ribosomal RNA", at positions 355 to 774 of the family's 1533-position model. The record is from RNAcentral.
UGGGGAAUCAUGGUCAAUGGGCGAAAGCCUGAACCAGCCAAGUCGCGUGAAGGAAGAAGGAUCUAUGGUUCGUAAACUUCUUUUGCAGGGGAAUAAAGUGCAGGACGUGUCCUGUUUUGUAUGUACCCUGAGAAUAAGGAUCGGCUAACUCCGUGCCAGCAGCCGCGGUAAUACGGAGGAUCCGAGCGUUAUCCGGAUUUAUUGGGUUUAAAGGGUGCGUAGGUGGUUUGAUAAGUCAGCGGUGAAAGUUUGCAGCUUAACUGUAAAAAUGCCGUUGAAACUGUCGGACUUGAGUGUAAAUGAGGUAGGCGGAAUGCGUGGUGUAGCGGUGAAAUGCAUAGAUAUCACGCAGAACUCCGAUUGCGAAGGCAGCUUACUAAGCUACAACUGACACUGAAGCACGAAAGCGUGGGGAUCAAACA